Molecule: ribosomal RNA, 1361 nt
Filed under: uncultured bacterium
Lineage: Bacteria
Description: bacterial SSU rRNA
Rfam family: Bacterial small subunit ribosomal RNA
Source: RNAcentral
GAUGAACGCUAGCGACAGGCUUAACACAUGCAAGUCGAGGGGCAGCGGGGGUAGCAAUACCCGCCGGCGACCGGCGCACGGGUGAGUAACGCGUAUGCAACUUACCUAUCAGAGGGGGAUAACCCGGCGAAAGUCGGACUAAUACCGCAUGAAGCAGGGGCCCCGCAUGGGGAUAUUUGCUGAAGAUUCAUCGCUGAUAGAUAGGCAUGCGUUCCAUUAGGCAGUUGGCGGGGUAACGGCCCACCAAACCGACGAUGGAUAGGGGUUCUGAGAGGAAGGUCCCCCACAUUGGUACUGAGACACGGACCAAACUCCUACGGGAGGCAGCAGUGAGGAAUAUUGGUCAAUGGGCGUAAGCCUGAACCAGCCAAGUCGCGUGAGGGAUGAAGGUUCUAUGGAUCGUAAACCUCUUUUAUAAGGGAAUAAAGUGCGGGACGUGUCCCGUUUUGUAUGUACCUUAUGAAUAAGGAUCGGCUAACUCCGUGCCAGCAGCCGCGGUAAUACGGAGGAUCCGAGCGUUAUCCGGAUUUAUUGGGUUUAAAGGGUGCGUAGGCGGCCUUUUAAGUCAGCGGUGAAAGUCUGUGGCUCAACCAUAGAAUUGCCGUUGAAACUGGGGGGCUUGAGUAUGUUUGAGGCAGGCGGAAUGCGUGGUGUAGCGGUGAAAUGCUUAGAUAUCACGCAGAACCCCGAUUGCGAAGGCAGCCUGCCAAGCCAUGACUGACGCUGAUGCACGAAAGCGUGGGGAUCAAACAGGAUUAGAUACCCUGGUAGUCCACGCAGUAAACGAUGAUCACUAGCUGUUUGCGAUACAGUGUAAGCGGCACAGCGAAAGCGUUAAGUGAUCCACCUGGGGAGUACGCCGGCAACGGUGAAACUCAAAGGAAUUGACGGGGGCCCGCACAAGCGGAGGAACAUGUGGUUUAAUUCGAUGAUACGCGAGGAACCUUACCCGGGUUUGAACGCAUUCGGACCGAGGUGGAAACACCUUUUCUAGCAAUAGCCGUUUGCGAGGUGCUGCAUGGUUGUCGUCAGCUCGUGCCGUGAGGUGUCGGCUUAAGUGCCAUAACGAGCGCAACCCUUGCCACUAGUUACUAACAGGUAAAGCUGAGGACUCUGGUGGGACUGCCAGCGUAAGCUGCGAGGAAGGCGGGGAUGACGUCAAAUCAGCACGGCCCUUACAUCCGGGGCGACACACGUGUUACAAUGGCGUGGACAAAGGGAUGCCACCUGGCGACAGGGAGCGAAUCCCCAAACCACGUCUCAGUUCGGAUCGGAGUCUGCAACCCGACUCCGUGAAGCUGGAUUCGCUAGUAAUCGCGCAUCAGCCAUGGCGCGGUGAAUACGUUCCCGGGCCUUGCACU